This is a long non-coding RNA of Gallus gallus (chicken), 1645 nucleotides long. RefSeq lists it as uncharacterized. Lineage: Eukaryota; Metazoa; Chordata; Aves; Galliformes; Phasianidae. The transcript is spliced from 3 exons. The record is from RefSeq and is a predicted model, not a curated record.
UUAAUGAACAGCUAUUGCUAACUCCAUACGGUGAAUCUAACCGGUUUCGACCCAGAAGACCCAGGCCCAGUAGUGGUGCGCUGUGCACGUCCUUCAGUGCAGAGCUGUCAGGAAGCACGAAUCGCUGCAGUUCUGAUGACAACCUUCCACAUGACAACAGCGAUGGGGAUAAGGCGCUCAUCUGCGUUCCUGCCCCCAUGUCUCCUGGCUCUGCUGAAGAUGCUGACCUGAGCCCACCAGCCAUGGCAGUCGCUAGCCUGGAUUGUGACUCAGUGUCCUUCCAGUGCAGCCCACCUCAUGCAGAGUCUGAGUGCCCGGGCAGCAGCACCUCCAUGAGGAGCAGGUCGGCAUCGCCGAGGAGGACUUAUAAUCAGGCAGCCAGUCCCAGGCACCGGGAGGCACACACAAGCGUGAUGCAGUCACGCUGCUCUCCGAAUUCUGUGCUUGAUUAAUCCGAAGAAAUCUUUAUGCCAUGAUGAGCAAACCAUGCUAUCUACCAAAUGAUGUCAAAGUCUUCUUUCUCACCCUUCACUUCCCUUUCCUGCACGUGAAGCAGCAACCUGCUGGCCAUCAGAGAAUGUCAGUGGUCAUCAGAAGGCUUUGUUGGCUGUCAGAGGGCUCCACUGAUCAUGAGAGAUCUUCACUGACCAUCAGAGGGCUUCAUUAAUGAACAGAGGGUGUCAUCGGUCAUCAGAGAGGAGAUUUGAGCCCCUCUUGAGCUACUGAAGGCCGCUCUUAGGUCUCCCCGGAUCCUUCUCCAGGCUGCCAAGUUCAAUGCAUACCAAGAAAUGCUUCAUGGAGACAAAUCAGUGGAACUAUAAAGACUAGAAUGUCUUUAACCUCAACAGAAUAAUUCUAAAAAGUCAAACGGGCUCUGUUAUAGAAGCUAGUUACGUGAUAGCAAAUCUGACGGCAGGAAAAUCCAAACCAUUUCCCGAUGGUGACUUUGUUAAGCAAUGUAUGGAAAACACAACAGGCAUAAUGUGUCCUGAUUUAAAACACAAAAACCAGGUGUCUUCUGCAUCUUCUAAGGGUCAUACUGGUUCUCCAGGAGUUUCGCUAAGGAAAGAUGCUGGGUUGACAGUAUUGGCUUCUACAUCAUCCUGCUCUAUUGCAACUGCUACUGUUCUUCCCAAUUUCUUUCUUUCCUUACAAUCCCUGUUUCCGUAUACUCUGCAAGCCCCCUCUAUUAAUUUGCCCAGGUCCCUUAGCUUCCCAGGUACCUCACCCGUUCCUUGAAUCUGUAGAAAAUAAAGCCAUCCUUGCCCUGACUAGCAAAAGACCUUGGGAGGUGUAAACAAGUUCAGCAGACAUGGAGGGACAGAGUUUCCUCUUUCAGAAAAGCUGAAAGAUUGUAACUAUUCAUGUCAGACAGACCCUCUCAACACAGUCAGGAGUUGUCUAGCUUGUACACCUGGCAUGGGUGUGAGCAGAGGCUAUAAAGACCAUGGGCAAGCCCCACCAAACCUGAGGUGGCUUGACAGCGAAGAGUGGAGAAGCCCAGCUCCAGUGUCAUGUACUUCAGGGCAGGAUGGAAGAUCCAGCACUGCCACACGCAUUGGCAAGAGGGUCACGUUUAAUAAGUGCAUACUGACCAAGUGCAUAUUGUUCAUCACACACAAUAAAAGUUUUUGUUGUGCACUAA